UAGUGGCGGACGGGUGAGUAACGCGUGGGUAACCUGCCUUGUACAGGGGGAUAACAGUCAGAAAUGACUGCUAAUACCGCAUAAGCGCACAGGACCGCAUGGUCCGGUGUGAAAAACUCUGGUGGUAUAAGAUGGACCCGCGUUGGAUUAGCUAGUUGGCAGGGUAAUGGCCUACCAAGGCGACGAUCCAUAGCCGGCCUGAGAGGGUGAUCGGCCACAUUGGGACUGAGACACGGCCCAGACUCCUACGGGAGGCAGCAGUGGGGAAUAUUGCACAAUGGGGGAAACCCUGAUGCAGCAACGCCGCGUGAGUGAUGACGGCCUUCGGGUUGUAAAGCUCUGUCUUCAGGGACGAUAAUGGCGGUACCUGAGGAGGAAGCCACGGCUAACUACGUGCCAGCAGCCGCGGUAAUACGUAAGGUGGCGAGCGUUGUCCGGAUUUACUGGGCGUAAAGGGAGCGUAGGCGGAUUUUUAAGUGAGAUGUGAAAUACUCGGGCUUAACCUGAGUGCUGCAUUUCAAACUGGAAGUUUAGAGUGCAGGAGAGGAGAAGGGAAUUCCUAGUGUAGCGGUGAAAUGCGUAGAGAUUAGGAAGAACACCAGUGGCGAAGGCGCUUCUCUGGACUGUAACUGACGCUGAGGCUCGAAAGCGUGGGGAGCAAACAGGAUUAGAUCCCCUGGUAGUCCACGCCGUAAACGAUGAAUAGUAGGUGUAGGGGUUGUCAAUGACCUCUGUGCCGCCGCUAACGCAUUAAGUAUUCCGCGGGGGGAGUACGGUCGCAAGAUUAAAACUCAAAGGAAUUGACGGGGGCCCGCACAAGCAGCGGAGCAUGUGGUUUAAUUCGAAGCAACGCGAAGAACCUUACCUAGACUUGACAUCUCCUGCAUUACUCUUAAUCGAGGAAGUCCCUUCGGGGACAGGAAGACAGGUGGUGCAUGGUUGUCGUCAGCUCGUGUCGUGAGAUGUUGGGUUAAGUCCCGCAACGAGCGCAACCCUUAUUGUUAGUUGCCAUCAUUAAGUUGGGCACUCUAGCGAGACUGCCCGGGUUAACCGGGAGGAAGGUGGGGAUGACGUCAAAUCAUCAUGCCCCUUAUGUCUAGGGCUACACACGUGCUACAAUGGUCGGUACAAUAAGACGCAAGCCCGCGAGGGGGAGCAAAACUGGAAAACCGAUCUCAGUUCGGAUUGUAGGCUGAAACUCGCCUACAUGAAGCUGGAGUUGCUAGUAAUCGCGAAUCAGCAUGUCGCGGUGAAUACGUUCCCGGGCCUUGCACACACCGCCCGUCA
RNAcentral lists this ribosomal RNA (1287 nucleotides) under uncultured bacterium. RNAcentral describes it as "bacterial SSU rRNA". It matches the Rfam family "Bacterial small subunit ribosomal RNA", at positions 93 to 1399 of the family's 1533-position model. The record is from RNAcentral.